GUAACAAGGUUUCCGUAGGUGAACCUGCGGAAGGAUCAUUAAAGCGUUGCCGACGUCGGCCCCGGCCGUUCGGCUUGAAAUAUAGCCUGGACGGUGCUGGAGGUCGCCGGCAGUUGCCCAUUCUUGCCUACUGACCCAGUUGCCUCGGCGAGCCGUGCCACUCGUGGCAGACCGGAAGCCGUUUGAACCCCUAGGGCUCAGGCGGCCCUGGCCAGUGCCCGCCGACGGACAGACUUAAAAUCUUUAUAUAUUGGCCGUCUGAGCGUAUAAAGCAAAUCAAUUAAAACUUUCAACAACGGAUCUCUUGGUUCCGGCAUCGAUGAAGAACGCAGCGAAAUGCGAUAAGUAAUGUGAAUUGCAGAAUUCCGUGAAUCAUCGAAUCUUUGAACGCACAUUGCGCCCCCUGGUAUUCCGGGGGGCAUGCCUGUUCGAGCGUCAUUGCAACCCUCAAGCUCGGCUUGUGUGAUGGGCGACCGUCCUUCCCCUAGGGGCGGGACGCGUCCGAAAAGCAGUGGCUAGGCCGCGAUUCCGGCGCCUGAGCGAAUGGGACUUCCACCGCUUCUAGGACCGGCCGGCACUUGGCCUUUAAACACGGUCUUAACUGACCAUCUAGGUUGACCUCGGAUCAGGUAGGGAUACCCGCUGAACCUAAGCAUAU
This 658-nucleotide unclassified non-coding RNA is filed under the name Arthroderma quadrifidum. RNAcentral's name for it is "sequence contains 18S rRNA gene, ITS1, 5.8S rRNA gene, ITS2, 28S rRNA gene". The stretch from base 285 to 438 matches the Rfam family "5.8S ribosomal RNA". Lineage: Eukaryota; Fungi; Ascomycota; Eurotiomycetes; Onygenales; Arthrodermataceae. The record is from RNAcentral.